CCGUGCUGCAUGGGCGGAGCCUGAUGCAGCACGCCGCGUGAGGGAUGACGGCCUUCGGGUUGUAAACCUCUUUUAGCAGGGAAGAAGCGAAAGUGACGGUACCUGCAGAAAAAGCGCCGGCUAACUACGUGCCAGCAGCCGCGGUAAUACGUAGGGCGCAAGCGUUAUCCGGAAUUAUUGGGCGUAAAGAGCUCGUAGGCGGUUUGUCGCGUCUGCUGUGAAAACCCGAGGCUCAACCUCGGGCCUGCAGUGGGUACGGGCAGACUAGAGUGCGGUAGGGGAGAUUGGAAUUCCUGGUGUAGCGGUGGAAUGCGCAGAUAUCAGGAGGAACACCGAUGGCGAAGGCAGAUCUCUGGGCCGUAACUGACGCUGAGGAGCGAAAGGGUGGGGAGCAAACAGGCUUAGAUACCCUGGUAGUCCACCCCGUAAACGUUGGGAACUAGUUGUGGGGUCCAUUCCACGGAUUCCGUGACGCAGCUAACGCAUUAAGUUCCCCGCCUGGGGAGUACGGCCGCAAGGCUAAAACUCAAAGGAAUUGACGGGGACCCGCACAAGCGGCGGAGCAUGCGGAUUAAUUCGAUGCAACGCGAAGAACCUUACCAAGGCUUGACAUACACGAGAACGCUGCAGAAAUGUAGAACUCUUUGGACACUCGUGAACAGGUGGUGCAUGGUUGUCGUCAGCUCGUGUCGUGAGAUGUUGGGUUAAGUCCCGCAACGAGCGCAACCCUCGUUCUAUGUUGCCAGCACGUAAUGGUGGGAACUCAUGGGAUACUGCCGGGGUCAACUCGGAGGAAGGUGGGGAUGACGUCAAAUCAUCAUGCCCCUUAUGUCUUGGGCUUCACGCAUGCUACAAUGGCCGGUACAAAGGGCUGCAAUACCGCGAGGUGGAGCGAAUCCCAAAAAGCCGGUCCCAGUUCGGAUUGAGGUCUGCAACUCGACCUCAUGAAGUCGGAGUCGCUAGUAAUCGCAGAUCAGCAACGCUGCGGUGAAUACGUUCCCGGGUCUUGUACACACCGCCCGUCAAGUCAUGAAAGUCGGUAACACCUGAGCCGUGGCCCAACCCUUGUGAGGGAGCGUCGAAGUGGGAUCGGUAAUUAGACUAGUCUAUA
This 1111-nucleotide ribosomal RNA is filed under the name Microbacterium sp. RNAcentral's name for it is "bacterial SSU rRNA". It matches the Rfam family "Bacterial small subunit ribosomal RNA", at positions 359 to 1491 of the family's 1533-position model. The record is from RNAcentral. Lineage: Bacteria; Bacillati; Actinomycetota; Actinomycetes; Micrococcales; Microbacteriaceae.